This 457-nucleotide ribosomal RNA is filed under the name uncultured bacterium. RNAcentral describes it as "partial 16S ribosomal RNA". It matches the Rfam family "Bacterial small subunit ribosomal RNA", at positions 338 to 795 of the family's 1533-position model. The record is from RNAcentral.
CCUACGUGGCAGCAGUGAGGAAUAUCGGUCAAUGGGCGCGAGCCUGAAACAGCCAAGUCGCGUGAGGGAAGACGGUCCUAUGGAUUGUAAACCUCUUUUGUCGGGGAGCAAAAGACGCCACGCGUGGCGUUCCGUGAGUACGCGAAGAAAAAGCAUCGGCUAACUCCGUGCCAGCAGCCGCGGUAGUACGGAGGAUGCGAGCGUUAUGCGGAUUUAUUGGGUUAAAAGGGUGCGCAGGCGGAAGAUCAAGUGGUCGGUAAAAUUGAGAGGCUCAACCUCUUCGAGCCGUUGAAACUGGUUUUCUUGAGUGAGUUAGAGGUAUGCGGAAUGCGUGGUGUAGCGGUGAAAUGCAUAGAUAUCACGCAGAACUCCGAUUGCGAAGGCAGCAUACCGGCGCUCAACUGACGCUCAUGCACGAAAGUGUGGGUAUCGAACAGGAUUAGAUACCCCGGUAGUC